RNAcentral lists this long non-coding RNA (703 nucleotides) under Mus musculus (house mouse). Its description in RNAcentral is "small nucleolar RNA host gene 1". The stretch from base 404 to 473 matches the Rfam family "Small nucleolar RNA SNORD22". The record is from RNAcentral. Lineage: Eukaryota; Metazoa; Chordata; Mammalia; Rodentia; Muridae.
GUUCUUGUCGGCCUCAUUUUUCCUUGUUCGGGGUUUGAGGUGCCACCUUACAAAAGGAUGGGUGUACGCUCUCUUUUCAGAAUGUGGUUCAUCUCAAAGCCCUUUACACUUUGGAGCCAGGCCUGUUCAAUUUUACAAAUAACACGUUUUGCUUGUAGUCAGGGUGCUGUGACAACAUGAAGAGUUCGAGCUACCUCCCAGGAUGAGUGCAGGUUUUCCUGGUGACAAAUCUCAGGCAUUCAAAGGUUCUGUUAGCAGUGCCAUACUUGUGGGUUUACAGAGAUGGUGUGUCUGGCUGAGAACAAAGGAGCCGUACCAGGAAAGUUGAAGCAUAUCUUCAUUUUCAAGUCCAGGCUAAAAUAAGGUGAGAAAACUUAGAUGAAAAGUAUGCUGAACUAUAAUUUCCCCAUGAAGAAAUGUUCACACGUCCUACUUCCUGUCCUAGCUCCAGAGCCUGAAAAGGUCUGAGGAAAAGAAUGAGCUGCGUGUGAAGGAUAGGAACAGAAAUCAUGAAAGAUCUGUUUGUCCAGGCCAGUGUUUCACCAUAAGAGAUCACUUUAAAAUAAAUGAUGAAAUAAUUCUUUGCAAUUGCAAAUUUACCUUCCUUGCUUACCACAUUGUUAACUGUAGGAGCUGAUACCUGGUUCUUCCACUGUUAACUUGUACUCUGUGUUUGUUCUAGCAAUAAAUGCUCUUUAUGCUA